CCGGCCUUAGCCUGGAGGAGCAACCCUGGUCCAGAGAGGCAGACGAAUGGCAGCCCUGCCCCGUGGGGGCUCCGGUUCUUCUCCUCCAUCCUCCUCCAGGCUCCGCCCACCUGCUCCGUCUGCCUCCCAGGGCCUCGUGAAUCCCAGGGAAGCCAUGAGCUGCCACAUCACGCCCGGAAGGAAGCGGGCUGCGUUGGAGGGGAAAAGACGCACCAGCAGCCUAGAAUUCGAGGCACUGCAGAGCCGGAAGGGGCCUCGGCGCUGCUCCCUCCGCCCCCUCAUUUCACAAACCGGAAACUGAGACCCAAAGCAAGGAAGGGACUUGGCCAAGUUGAAGAGAUGAAGGCGCAGAGGCAUGAACUCCCGUAGCCAGAGAGUGUGAGCUGGACUCUACCUGGAGCAGCCUCGGUGCAGAGCCCAUGCCCCCAACCAUGUCCGUGGUCGAGGCCCAGCCCAGACAGGGCACAAAGGGGCUGAGGAAGAGGAAGUAAGAUGCCAGGGUUGCCAUGCAGGAGGGCAACCCCAAGUGAGAUGGGCAUCGUGGCCUAGGGCCCACCUUCCGGAAGAGCUCAUCAGAACUUCGGACACACUGCAUGGGCCUAGACCCAGGGCUCGUUGAGCUCCUCCCUCGGAUUGGCUUCGAAUUUUAGGUGAAUCCUCUCUAGCAGCCACAUUCACCCUUGCAAGCCUGCACUUUGUCAUCUUCUGAAAAGGUGCAGGAACAUGAUGCCCAGCUGACUCCCAGGGAGCGGGAGCCCCAGAGGCCAGCGGAGCACAGCCGCAGCAGGCAGAUCUGUUGGGAAACCACGGGAGUAUAGGAGCAGGGCUGGGGGCACCUGAGGGACUGUGGAGCCUGAAUUAUUGAAACGCUUAGAGUAAAGCAGAUUUAGAUUUCACAAAGACAGAGGUGAAGGUGGGUGAAGACGGAGGGAAGGAUUUAAAGGGAAAGAGAAAGAGGAAAGAUAAGAAUGAGGGAGAAAGAGGAAGAGAGAAAGAAAAAGAGAAAUAGAGUUAUCGAAGAUGACUGCAAGUCUGGCCUCUCUCAACCCAAGGAGCCAAGGAGGGGAAGGCCGGCCUGAGCAGCAACGUAGACAAGAGCUCAGGAGGGCAGGGACAGAGCCCUGGCUUCAGCAAGAGCGUGGGGAACAGAGGGCAAGGGGGUCCAUGCAGCCCAGGAUGGCAGGGUGCUCAUACACACAGCCUUGGUCCUGUCCCCUCUCCCAUUGCCGCUUUUGAGCUCACCUUGUUUAAGGCCAAAGCACACACCAUCCUCCCACAGAGCCACUAAUGCAAUUAACAAAACACAUUCAUAAAUCUUGCAUGGCGUCCGGAGCUGUCUCCUCUCCCUAAGCACAAAGGCCAGCUCCAGAGAUGCUGUGCAGAGAGCUGUCUGACCUCUCCAGCGUCAGGGCCCCCUGAAAAGUGCAGCAUAACCCUUAGUAGGACAGAAAGACCAUUGUCUUCUGCCAACCAUUACAAAGUGGAGUGGGGCUGGGGUUAGGAAACACAGACAAAUCAGAAGAGGCUGAGAAGGCGGAGAUGAAAGUGCAUAGGUGUUUGCAGGGAGCUGGGGAAUAGUUCGUGCCUUCCAAGCUCAACAAGAGAGCAUUCAGCAGAGACCAGAGAAUCACCACUUUUGGAGGGUGAUUUUACCUUGUGAGAACAGAGCACAGGGUGUGUGGGACCCAGGGCAUCUUCGGCAAUGCGGGCGUGACUUGGCGGGAUGUCGGUGUUUGUGUUUGCAUGUGUGUGUGCGUGCGUGCAUGCUCAGUCUGGAAAACUGGUGACUCACUAAAACACCGAGCUUUCUGAUCUGAAGAGCUUAUAUUCGGCUAUUUUUAGCUCGUCUUGUCUCUUGGCCCUUUUUUUCCCCUUGUCUGUUUUCAAAUGUAGAGGAGUCUGGAGACCAUGAAUGCCGUGUGUGUGUGUCUGCUAAUUUAGAGCUUGGGCCCAGAGGUGGGUACCCCUGAAGGUGCAGAGAUGAAGGCACGUGGGGUGUAUGUGUGUACAGCAGGGACACACUGACACAGACAGGGUGCACAUGCUCUUAUUCUGGCAUGUACACACGCGUACCAUGCAUACGUGCAAGCAGGAGUGAGGCCAGAAACGUCCCUGGAAACUCCGGCCUACACUCUCUUCACGUGGGUUGGUGUACAGCUACCCACUAUGCAUACUUCACAAGUAUAACUGCCUCCCCACCCCAGCCCCUGCCUCACACGACCCAGGUGGGCACACUCUCAUGAGGCACAUGGCCACAGGCACAGUCUGGGCCUAUCUUGGGGAAUGGCCCCAGCCCCUGUGCCUUGUUUCUUCUCUGUUCAGCCACUCUUCCAAAAAUUAUGACUUCUUCUCAAGAAGGCCUUUCUCUGCUGGUUGGCAAUAGGAAACACGAAGUGCCAGCUUCUGCACUUGGCUUCUCCUGGGACUCAUUCAGCUGAUCCCACCUGCCCACCACCAUUGGCCGAGACCGCCUCCCCAGUCCAGUGGUCAUCCAGCUACAGGGGGUCUGGCAACUGCUUAGAGAGGCCAGGCAGGGGUCAAUGCUGUGUGAGCUCCGUUCCUCUAGCCGGGAGAGAGGGAGAAAGGAGAGCGAGCUCGGAUUGCCAUCUGCCUAGGUGCAGUGUGGGGCAGGCGGGGAGCGGAGCUCGGACUGCCGUCUGCCUAGGUGCAACGUGGGGCAGGCAGGGAGCGGACAGCACUCUUCAAGGCUCUAGAACGCUGGUGGGUUCCUGGACCUUGACUCUGUGUGACAGGACUGUGUAUGCAACCCAGUGUCAAGAGCAGAAAUGCGCAAAUGCUGCCUAUGACCAGUGCCUCAGUGAUGCGGCACGCCUGGGAAAGGGCACCCACAGCCUCUCUUUCCACACAGCACACAUGCUGUGCACUCACGCACAGCAGCACGUGCCUGCAUGCACACACUCUUAGAAGCCUGCGUGAGAGAGAACACGAGCCUUCGUUACUCCAGACACCAAAGCAAGCUCUGAGCUGCAUCAUCCCUCAAGUCUGCAGUUUAGGCAUGGCUCAGAGGCCCCAGCCAAGGCGGCCAAAACCCAGCCAUGUGUUGCUCCUUAAGCCAUGUCUUCUGCUGAGAGUCUGCGUCAGCCCAGAGGAGGGGCCCUCGGUCUCCCUUGCCUGCCGGGAGGCCCUGUGGUUCCUGGUGUCCAGUGGGCUCAGCGUCACGUCCUGGAAGGAGCCACUACCCGCCUACUGCCCCACUGCAUUCCACUCCACACACAUUUGGGGAUCCAGCGCUCUGUGCAAGGCACUCCAUGUCAUCAUGAUGAAGGAGGACCAGCCGGAGUCCCCACCCCCAGACCCCUGCCCCAAGAUAGGCUGGCACAGAAUAAGAUGCCUGCACAAUUAGCCAUUGCAGGACUCGUCACCCAGGGUGUGUGUGGUCAUGAGCCACGCAGAAGGGAUAAUUCUCUCUUCCUCCUGGGGCCUGGGGGCCUUCACAGAGAACAGGACAGGGGCUUUUGCCUGGGCCCUGAAUAAUGAACAGAUCUCCCCAGGCCAAAGAGGAACUUCUCAGGCAGGGAACUGGCCUGCAUGAAGGUGUGGGAUUGGGAAGCGUGGACAGGGGCUCGUGGGGAGAAAUCAGAUCUUGCCAGCAGACAGACUGGAGCUCAAGCCUGCCUGACUUGCCUCCG
Molecule: long non-coding RNA, 3650 nt
Filed under: Homo sapiens (human)
Lineage: Eukaryota; Metazoa; Chordata; Mammalia; Primates; Hominidae
Description: non-protein coding lnc-JAM3-3:11
Source: RNAcentral